UGUGACCUCAAAUCAGGUAGGACUACCCGCUGAACUUAAGCAUAUCAAUAAGCGGAGGAAAAGAAACUAACAAGGAUUCCCCUAGUAACUGCGAGUGAAGCGGGAAAAGCUCAAAUUUAAAAUCUGGCGGUCUUUUGGUCGUCCGAGUUGUAAUCUAGAGAAGUGUUAUCCGCGCUGGACCGUGUACAAGUCUCCUGGAAUGGAGCAUCAUAGAGGGUGAGAAUCCCGUCUUUGACAUGGACUACCAGGGCUUUGUGAUGCGCUCUCAAAGAGUCGAGUUGUUUGGGAAUGCAGCUCAAAAUGGGUGGUAAAUUCCAUCUAAAGCUAAAUAUUGGCGAGAGACCGAUAGCGAACAAGUACCGUGAGGGAAAGAUGAAAAGAACUUUGGAAAGAGAGUUAAACAGUACGUGAAAUUGCUGAAAGGGAAACGCUUGAAGUCAGUCACGUUGGCCAGGGAUCAACCUUGCUUUUGCUUGGUGCACUUCCUGGUUUGACGGGCCAGCAUCAAUUUUGACUAUUGGAUAAAGGUUAAGAGAAUGUGGCAUCUUUGGAUGUGUUAUAGCUCUUGGUUGCAUACAAUGGUUGGGAUUGAGGAACUCAGCACGCCGCAAGGCCGGGUUUUAAACCACGUACGUGCUUAGGAUGCUGGCAAUAUGGCUUUAAUCGACCCGUCUUGAAACACGGACCAAGGAGUCUAACAUGCCUGCGAGUGUUUGGGUGGAAAACCCGAGCGCGUAAUGAAAGUGAAAAGUUGAGAUCCCUGUCGUGGGGAGCAUCGACGCCCGGACCAGACCUUUUGUGACGGUUCCGCGGUAGAGCAUGUAUGUUGGGACCCGAAAGAUGGUGAACUAUGCCUGAAUAGGGUGAAUCCAGAGGAAACUCUGGUGGAGGCUCGUAGCGAUUCUGACGUGCAAAUCGAUCGUCAAAUUUGGGUAUAGGGGCGAAAG
This 947-nucleotide ribosomal RNA is filed under the name Cortinarius sp. 14 MD-2018. RNAcentral's name for it is "eukaryotic LSU rRNA". It matches the Rfam family "Eukaryotic large subunit ribosomal RNA", at positions 1 to 929 of the family's 3401-position model. The record is from RNAcentral. Lineage: Eukaryota; Fungi; Basidiomycota; Agaricomycetes; Agaricales; Cortinariaceae. RNAcentral also lists the same sequence under 1 other name.